Molecule: ribosomal RNA, 50 nt
Filed under: Alexandrium margalefii
Lineage: Eukaryota; Dinophyceae; Gonyaulacales; Pyrocystaceae
Description: partial Eukaryotic large subunit ribosomal RNA
Source: RNAcentral
CCUCCGUGCCCAUAAACGCAUCAGGUCUCCAAGGUUAGCAGCCUCUGGUC